AAUCAAAUUUCUAAGAGCAAACGGUGGAUGCCUUGGCAUCUGGAGCCGAAGAAGGACGUAGUAAUCUGCGAUAAUCCUCGGGGAGCUGAUAAACGAGCUUUGAUCCGAGGGUCUCCGAAUGGGGAAACCCAGCUGGCGAUCAUAGCCAGUUACCUCUGCCUGAAUAUAUAGGGCAGUUGGAGGGAACGUGGGGAAGUGAAACAUCUCAGUACCCACAGGAAGAGAAAACAACAUGUGAUUCCGUAAGUAGUGGCGAGCGAACGCGGAAGAGGCCAAACCGCACGUGUGUGAUAGCCGGCAGGCGUUGCACGUGCGGGGUUGCGGGACGUCUCUGUUGAUCUGCCGAUCAGCAAACGUUACAGCGCAGGAUAGUCGAAGAGCUUGGAACAGCUCAUCAAAGAGGGUGAGAAUCCCGUAGACGAAAUUCUGUAAUGGCGUGAGACCCAUCCCAAGUAGCACGGGGCCCGAGAAAUCCCGUGUGAAUCUGCCAGGACCACCUGGUAAGCCUAAAUACUCCCAGAUGACCGAUAGCGGACAAGUACCGUGAGGGAAAGGUGAAAAGUACCCCGGGAGGGGAGUGAAAUAGUACCUGAAACCGUUUGCUUACAAACCGUUGGAGCAGCCCUAGUAGCUGUGACAGCGUGCCUUUUGAAGAAUGAGCCUGCGAGUUAGUGAUAUGUGGCAAGGUUAACCCGUGUGGGGAAGCCGUAGCGAAAGCGAGUCUGAAUAGGGCGAUUCAGUCGCAUGUCCUAGACCCGAAGCGAAGUGAUCUAUCCAUGGCCAGGUUGAAGCGAGGGUAAGACCUCGUGGAGGACCGAACCCACUUAUGUUGAAAAAUGAGGGGAUGAGCUGUGGAUAGGGGUGAAAGGCCAAUCAAACUUCGUGAUAGCUGGUUCUCUCCGAAAUGCAUUUAGGUGCAGCGUUGCGUGUUUCUUGCCGGAGGUAGAGCGACUGGAUGGCCGAUGGGCCUCAACAGGUUACUGACGUCAGCCAAACUCCGAAUGCCGGUAAGUGAGAGCGCAGCAGUGAGACGGUGGGGGAUAAGCUUCAUCGUCGAGAGGGAAACAACCCAGACCAUCAUCUAAGGUCCCUAAGCGUGUGCUAAGUGGAAAAGGAUGUGGAGUUGCUUAGACAACCAGGAGGUUGGCUUAGAAGCAGCCACCCUUGAAAGAGUGCGUAAUAGCUCACUGGUCAAGUGAUUCUGCGCCGACAAUGUAACGGGGCUCAAGCACACCACCGAAGGUAUGGAAUUCAGACAAUAGGCCGGCACUUUGUGUCCAGCCGUCUGGAUUGGUAGGAGAGCGUCGUGUGGCGAGCGAAGCGGCGGGGUAACCCAGCCGUGGAUGCCACACGAGUGAGAAUGCAGGCAUGAGUAGCGAAAGACGGGCGAGAAACCCGUCCUCCGAAAGACCAAGGGUUCCAGGGUCAAGCUAAUCUUCCCUGGGUAAGCCGGGACCUAAGGCGAGGCCGACAGGCGUAGUCGAUGGACAACAGGUUGAUAUUCCGUGCUAACGAAGAACCGCCCAAGCUAAUCUAGUGGUGCUAAGAGUCUGAAGCGUUUAUCAGAUCCCUUCGGGGUGACGAUUCACGUGGAGCACUCGACCCCAUGCUAGUGCGGCUAGCGUAUUAACAGGUGUGACGCAGGAGGAUAAGUGAACCGGGCGGAUGGAAGAGCCCGGGUAACGGUGUAGGACUGAAGAUUGGCAAAUCCGUCUUCUAUAUGUCUGAGACCGGACGCCGAACCGUAAAGGGAAGUCACUGAUUCCAUGCUGCCUAGAAAAGCAUCGACGCGAGGUUCUAGUUACCCGUACCCCAAACCAACUCAGGUGGUCAGGUAGAGAAUACUAAGGAGAUCGAGAUAAUCAUGGUUAAGGAACUCGGCAAAAUGCCCCCGUAACUUCGGGAGAAGGGGGGCCGGAAAGGUGAUGGCACUUGCUGCCUAAGCCCAGAAGGCCGCAGAGACCAGUGGGAAGCGACUGUUUAUCAAAAACACAGGUCCGUGCGAAGUCGCAAGACGAUGUAUACGGACUGACGCCUGCCCGGUGCUGGAAGGUUAAGAGGAGGGGUUAGCUUCGGCGAAGCUCUGAAUUUAAGCCCCAGUAAACGGCGGUGGUAACUAUAACCAUCCUAAGGUAGCGAAAUUCCUUGUCGGGUAAGUUCCGACCUGCACGAAUGGCGUAACGACUUCCCAGCUGUCUCAACCGUGAACUCGGCGAAAUUGCAAUACGAGUAAAGAUGCUCGUUACGCGCAGAAGGACGGAAAGACCCCGUGACCUUUACUAUAGCUUGGUAUUGGUGUUCGGAGUUGCCUGUGUAGGAUAGGUGGGAGACUUUGAAGCUUGGACGCUAGUUCAGGUGGAGUCAUUGUUGAAAUACCACUCUGGUAACUUUGGAUAUCUAACUUCGAACCGUGAUCCGGUUCAGGGACAGUGCCUGGUGGGUAGUUUAACUGGGGCGGUUGCCUCCUAAAGAGUAACGGAGGCGCCCAAAGGUUCCCUCAAUCUGGUUGGCAAUCAGAUGUCGAGUGUAAGUGCACAAGGGAGCUUGACUGUGACACCGGCGGGUGGAGCAGGGACGAAAGUCGGGACUAGUGAUCCGGCAGUGGCUUGUGGAAGCGCUGUCGCUCAACGGAUAAAAGGUACCUCGGGGAUAACAGGCUGAUCUUGCCCAAGAGUCCAUAUCGACGGCAUGGUUUGGCACCUCGAUGUCGGCUCGUCGCAUCCUGGGGCUGGAGUAGGUCCCAAGGGUUGGGCUGUUCGCCCAUUAAAGCGGCACGCGAGCUGGGUUCAGAACGUCGUGAGACAGUUCGGUCCCUAUCCUCUGCGCGCGUUGGAAAUUUGAGAAGAUUUGACCCUAGUACGAGAGGACCGGGUUGAACGAACCUCUGGUGUGUCAGUUGUCCUGCCCAGGGCACCGCUGAUUAGCUACGUUCGGGAUGGAUAACCGCUGAAAGCAUCUAAGCGGGAAGCCGGCUUCAAGAUGAGAUUUCCAUGCCCCUCGGGGCGAGAGGCUCCCAGUAGACUACUGGGUUGAUAGGCCGGAUGUGGAAGUGCAGCAAUGCAUGCAGCUGACCGGUACUAAUAAGCCAAUAAUUUGAUUAC
This 3101-nucleotide ribosomal RNA is filed under the name Agrococcus casei LMG 22410. RNAcentral describes it as "Bacterial large subunit ribosomal RNA". It matches the Rfam family "Bacterial large subunit ribosomal RNA". The record is from Rfam by way of RNAcentral. Lineage: Bacteria; Bacillati; Actinomycetota; Actinomycetes; Micrococcales; Microbacteriaceae.